AAGUCGUAACAAGGUUUCCGUAGGUGAACCUGCGGAAGGAUCAUUACUGAGUGCGGGCCCCUCGCGGGUCCAACCUCCCACCCGUGUCUCUUGAAUACCCUGUUGCUUUGGCGGGCCUACCGGGGAACUCCCGGUUGCCGGGGGGCACUGCGCCCCCGGGCUCGCGCCCGCCAGAGCGCCUAUGAACCCUAAUGAAGAUGGACCGUCUGAGUGUGAGAUACAAUGAUCAAAACUUUCAACAAUGGAUCUCUUGGUUCCG
Molecule: unclassified non-coding RNA, 259 nt
Filed under: Penicillago mirabilis
Lineage: Eukaryota; Fungi; Ascomycota; Eurotiomycetes; Eurotiales; Penicillaginaceae
Description: [Penicillium] mirabile partial internal transcribed spacer region
Rfam family: Eukaryotic small subunit ribosomal RNA (bases 1-46)
Source: RNAcentral